Long non-coding RNA from Xiphias gladius (swordfish), 865 nucleotides. RefSeq lists it as uncharacterized. The transcript has 3 exons. Lineage: Eukaryota; Metazoa; Chordata; Actinopteri; Istiophoriformes; Xiphiidae. The record is from RefSeq and is a predicted model, not a curated record.
CGCACAGGCCGGACGCAGCCGGAGGGGAGGCGGCCGGGGAAGGCGGCCGUGUCAUGGAAUGUAGAACAUUGGCUCGGCCGUCUAAGUCCAUGUUAUUCAGCCUACGAGACUCCCACACGUCAGGCCGGCAUACUGCGAAUGCCCUAAUGCUUUUCGGGCAUUUCUUUUAAAGUACCAUUUUGAACAGCAGAAAACAGUUGUAAUGGUCGAGCCAUUACAGAAGUGAAGUGAACCUCAGACCUGUACCAGGGCUACACGUUUACCUCUAUCGUUGAAACAGCAGACACUGUCGCCCGAUCCCGAUGAAAUUGUGCAGGUGGGGAUCAACGGCGGGAAAUCUACCUGGAAGCGUUCUGUUUCCGUGCCACUCUCUCUCCCUCUGUGGGGAGGGGAUCAGGGCCAAACAGAGAGGUCUGAGCAGAGAUAGAUGGCACACGGCAACCCAUCCCUGACAACAAGAUUAAUCUUCACUCUUCAGACCUGAUGAAAAUGUCUUGCCGGCACCACCUCUACCUCCACUUUUCAUCAGUCGCACCCACUCCCCCUCUGUGGAGGGUAGUUUCAAAAUUAAAAUUAAGAGAUUGUGAAUAUUUUUUUCCCCUUUUACUGUACUUUGCUAACAAACUUUAAAGGGGCACAUCCCAACUUUAAUCAAUUUACUCCUCAUAAGAGAUAUUACACAGCCUAUGAAAGCAGUUGAAUGUGAAUGUGUUCUGGACAGUGGUGCACAGAGAGAUUUUUAAAGUAUGAAGAUAACCCUGAGGACAUCAAAGUUUUCUCAUAUUGGACAUCACAUCGACUGGAGUUCACAUUUUUAACUGAGCCUAUUUUACAAAAGUUUGAAAUAAGUGGGCACUUUGAACAU